AACAAACGCUGGCGGCGUGCCUAAUACAUGCAAGUCGAACGGGGAAAGUAGCAAUACGAGUACUAGUGGCGCACGGGUGAGGAAUACAUGGGUAAUCUGCCCUCGAGCUCGGGAUAACCAGUCGAAAGACUGGCUAAUACCGGAUAUGACCACAAGAUCUGAGGAUCAAGGGGUAAAAGGUUUUUCGCUUGAGGAUGAGCCCAUGUGGGAUUAGCUAGUUGGUGUAGGUAACGGCUCACCAAGGCGACGAUCCCUAACUGGUCUUAGAGGAUGAUCAGUCACACUGGAACUGAGACACGGUCCAGACUCCUACGGGAGGCAGCAGUAGGGAAUAUUGCACAAUGGAGGAAACUCUGAUGCAGCGACGCCGCGUGAGUGAUGAAGGCCUUCGGGUCGUAAAGCUCUGUCGUAUGGGACUAACAAAUGAAGGUACCAUGCAAGAAAGGAUACGGCUAACUUCGUGCCAGCAGACCGCGGUAAU
This 481-nucleotide ribosomal RNA is filed under the name uncultured bacterium. RNAcentral describes it as "bacterial SSU rRNA". It matches the Rfam family "Bacterial small subunit ribosomal RNA", at positions 29 to 524 of the family's 1533-position model. The record is from RNAcentral.